UACGUAGGGGGCGAGCGUUGUCCGGAAUUAUUGGGCGUAAAGAGCGUGUAGGCUGUUCGGUAAGUCUGCCGUGAAAACCUGAGGCUCAACCUCGGGCGUGCGGUGGAUACUGCCGGGCUAGAGGACGGUAGAGGCGAGUGGAAUUCCCGGUGUAGCGGUGAAAUGCGCAGAUAUCAGGAAGAACACCUAUGGCGAAGGCAGCACUCUGGGACGGUACUGACGCUGAGACGCGAAAGCGUGGGGAGCGAACAGG
Molecule: ribosomal RNA, 253 nt
Filed under: uncultured bacterium
Lineage: Bacteria
Description: partial 16S ribosomal RNA
Rfam family: Bacterial small subunit ribosomal RNA
Source: RNAcentral